GCGUAAAGGGCUCGCAGGCGGUUUCUUAAGUCUGAUGUGAAAGCCCCCGGCUCAACCGGGGAGGGUCAUUGGAAACUGGGAAACUUGAGUGCAGAAGAGGAGAGUGGAAUUCCACGUGUAGCGGUGAAAUGCGUAGAGAUGUGGAGGAACACCAGUGGCGAAGGCGACUCUCUGGUCUGUAACUGACGCUGAGGAGCGAAAGCGUGGGGAGCGAACAGGAUUAGAUACCCUGGUAGUCCACGCCGUAAACGAUGAGUGCUAAGUGUUAGGGGGUUUCCGCCCCUUAGUGCUGCAGCUAACGCAUUAAGCACUCCGCCUGGGGAGUACGGUCGCAAGACUGAAACUCAAAGGAAUUGACGGGGGCCCGCACAAGCGGUGGAGCAUGUGGUUUAU
This 393-nucleotide ribosomal RNA is filed under the name Bacillus pumilus. Its description in RNAcentral is "bacterial SSU rRNA". It matches the Rfam family "Bacterial small subunit ribosomal RNA", at positions 558 to 949 of the family's 1533-position model. Lineage: Bacteria; Bacillati; Bacillota; Bacilli; Caryophanales; Bacillaceae. The record is from RNAcentral.